This 845-nucleotide long non-coding RNA is filed under the name Phoenix dactylifera (date palm). RNAcentral describes it as "long non-coding RNA (PDAC_LNC003771)". Lineage: Eukaryota; Viridiplantae; Streptophyta; Magnoliopsida; Arecales; Arecaceae. The record is from RNAcentral.
ACCAACUCUUAGACUUAGAUUCCAAUUCUCCAAUACCUAGCAAUAUCAUUAAAUUGCAUGUCACUUGCACAUUUAAUUUCUAUUUAUUUAUAAUAUUCUCUUAAUUAAAAUUAUUUACAGUCCACACAUAGGACUCAAUUUCAUUUUUAGAUCCAUAGCCUAAUUCAAUUUCUGGUUCAAGUCUAAUCUAACUUCUGGUUCAAAUUUGAUUCAAUUUUUGGUUUAGGUCUAAUCUACUUUCUGGUUCGAAUUUGAUUCAAUUUCUGGUUCAGGUCUAUUUCACCUUUUGGUUCGGGUCUGACCUAAUUUUUAGUUCAGGUCUGGUUCAGCUUCUGGUUUAGACCUGAUUCAACCUCUGAUUCAGGUUUGAUUCAGUUUUUGGUUCAGGUCUGACCUAAUUCCAACUUCUGGUUUAGACCCAAUUGCCCUCUGGUUCAGGUUUGGGCCCAUUUGCAUUCAGGCCCGAAGUUUAAUUAAAUCCUGGAUCAAACCCUUGGCCUGAUUCAAUCGCUAGGCCCGUUUGGAACAGGCCCUUGCCCUGAUUAUUCAGGUGCAGAAAUUGGUUAAAUUCUGGAACAGGCCCUUGCCCUGAUUUAGUCACUGAGCCCAUUUAUAUUCAGGUCCAGUAAUAUAAUUAGUUAACUUAUGAUUAAAUUCUAUUAGUUAUAUUUAAUUUAAAGGGACCUAGCCUCAAACUAUAUUCAAUUGGACCCUUACAUUAAGGUUUGGACUCCUCAUGCCUAAUUUAGUUUUGGGUUUAAGAAUACUGGGCUCGGACCAGACCCAACCCAGCCUCAGACCUUUAAAACCCAAGUUAUUUGAAACCUACUGCCGAAAUCAGGCCC